Molecule: unclassified non-coding RNA, 1404 nt
Filed under: Orbicella faveolata
Lineage: Eukaryota; Metazoa; Cnidaria; Anthozoa; Scleractinia; Merulinidae
Description: heat shock 70 kDa protein 14-B-like, transcript variant X1
Source: RNAcentral
CUGUUGAUUGCUGAAAGGGACUUGGACGGAGUCCUCACCAGCUUUUCUCGUUCUUUGAAAAUCAACAUGGCGGCUGCAAUUGGAGUUCAUCUUGGAUACACUUGUGCUUCCUUGGCCAUUUACAAGGACGGGAGAACAGAAGUCAUUGCUAAUGAUGCAGGAGAUCGGGUCACUCCGGUGCUUGUGGCGUGUUCUGGAAAAGACAUGUCCAUUGGUCUUCCUGCUAAACAUGGCCUUAUUCGAAAUGCCAAGAACACAAUGGCAAGAGCAAGCAAGAUUAUUGGGCUGAGAUUUUCUGAUAAUGCAGUUCAAGAAGAAGUCCAGGUAUCUGAUUGUCAGAUUAUUGAUAAAGAUGGAGAACCCUUCUUUGAGUUGGAGUUAAAUGACAAAAAGACACUUUUCUCCCCUAAAGAAGUUGUCAGGAUGAUAUUUCAAAAACUGUUAGAAAUUGCUCAGGCCAAUGGUGGAAAUGAUAUUGAAGAAGCUGUGAUCACUAUACCUUUACACUUCAAUGAUGAACAAAGAGCAGCCAUAAGGGAGGCAGCAGAAGAUGCUGGCUUUGAUGUGCUUCGGGUCAUCAGUCAACCUGCUGCAGCAGCUCUGGCUUAUGACAUUGGACAAAGUGACCGGGCUACUGUGAGGACAGUACUUGUGUACAGACUUGGAGGAACAACCCUUGAUGUCACUGUUUUGGCUGUCAAUGGUGGAAUGUACAGAGUUGUAUCCACAGAACAUGACACAACUUUAGGUGGAAUAAAAUUUGAUGAGUUGUUAUCACAACAUCUUGCUGCUGAGUUUCAAAGGCAAUGGAAACAAGAUGUCAGAGGCAAUGCCAGAGCAAUGGCCAAACUAAUGGCAGGCGCUGAAAAUUGUAAACAUAUUCUGUCUUCCAGAGAUACAGCGACCUGUGCUAUUGAGUCUCUUUAUGAUGGGAUUGACAUGCAAAGUACAGUGUCAAGGGCUCGGUUUGAGUCUCUCUGCUUCAGUUUAUUCCAACAAAGCCUUUCUGCUAUUGAUAGAGUUCUUGCAACAUCAAAUGUUGCCAAAGACAAAGUAGACCAGGUUAUCUUAGUGGGUGGUUCAACUCGUAUUCCCAGAAUCAAGCAGCUUGUUCAGGAGUAUUUCGGGGGAAAAGAAGUUUGUCAAUCCAUUGAUCCUGACAGUGUGUUAGCACAUGGAGCGGCCAUUCAGGCAUCUUUGCUUCAAGGGAGAGAAGAGCAAUUCAAUAAUGAGUUAGAAGUGGAAUGUACAUCAAAAGCAAUCAGUGUGAUGAUCCCCAUCUAAAAUCAGCAUUCUCUUCUGACCGGGAAAGGACUUUUCGAUGUGAGAUUUAGAGCUUAGUGAGACUGUUUGUUUAUGUGUAUAUGAAGUUAAUGAUGACACACCUAACGACCCUGGAAAGAC